CAGCAACUGCGUGUUGCUAUCAUGUCAAUAUGGAGCAAAAUCUCUGAGGAAUGUUUCCAGGACCUUGUUGAAUCUAUUCCAUGAAGGAUUAAGGUAGUUCUGAAGGCAAAAGGGGGUCCAACCCAGUACUAGCCAGGUGUACCUAAUAAAGUGGCCGAUUCACACCUGUGCUGCCUGAGUUUCCUGCCUAUCAAGAUUACCCUACAAUCCGUGAAUACUGGAGUCCAAUCCAGUGCUUUUCACAGUACACUGAUGACAAAAUCUUUGAGGAUCUGGCAGCUUUUACAAAUCAAAGACAGCUGCAAACUACGGGAGUGUCACUGAAUACUACUGCCCAAGAAAUCAAGAUUGUCUUUGGCAUUUCAGUACACAUGACCUGCCUUGGCUAUCCCAGAGUCAAAAUGUUUUGGGCUAAAAAAAAAAGUGCCUGUUAUUAGCAGGAAAAUGCUGAGAUGCUCACUCAAGAUUGUCAAUGCGCUGGCUCUAGGUGCUUAUUUUCUAAAUUCAGUUUCAUUUGUACUCGGAUCUCGUCCUGUUGUCCUCUACAGUGGACAUGCUGUGAAAUUAAAAUAAAAAAUAUAUUUAAAAACAAACA
This is a long non-coding RNA of Stegastes partitus (bicolor damselfish), 595 nucleotides long. RefSeq lists it as uncharacterized. The record is from RefSeq and is a predicted model, not a curated record. Lineage: Eukaryota; Metazoa; Chordata; Actinopteri; Pomacentridae. The transcript is spliced from 2 exons.